UUUACAGUUUCUUUCCAAAAUACGGUUCUUUCGUCUUCUUCCUCCUUGCGUGCUCUCCCGCUCAAUUGUUCUCCCUCCAAAUUCUCCGGCAAGAACUUCCCAAAUUGUCAGUCUCUCGUUAGAAGGUUAGCCACUUCGUGACCGGUUUCCAAUUCAUACCUUCCAAAAAGGGUGUUUGCCAGGGCGAUUAUAAUCGGUGAUAUUUGUUAACUAACGAACUGCUCAACUUUUCCAGGAUGGUUAUCAAGGGACAAAGUGGUAGCAGCAGCAAACCUAGGG
Spinacia oleracea (spinach) is the source of this 279-nucleotide long non-coding RNA. RefSeq lists it as uncharacterized. The transcript is spliced from 2 exons. The record is from RefSeq and is a predicted model, not a curated record. NCBI's taxonomy places the organism in Eukaryota, Viridiplantae, Streptophyta, Magnoliopsida, Caryophyllales, Amaranthaceae.